AAAAUAAAGCAAUCUAAAUUGGAUAACUAUGUCGGAGUUUAAUUUACAAUAUAAGGACGUGAACUAAUCAAUACAAUAAUAAACAUAGAGUAAUGAUACAUGAAUAAAAUUACACAAAUGUAUAACAAAAAUAUGAAAACGCGAAAAAAUUAAUUACGGCAUCCACAAUGACAACAUCCACUCAACAUACAUUAUUUGAAUACUAGUAUUAAUAAUCAAAGAUGAAUAAGUUAAGUAGCAUACAUGGCAAUUUCAAAAUGAGUAGCAUAAAACAAAUUAAAGCAAAUGAAAUGUAGGAUUGUUUUGAAAAAUAAUAAAUGGGCUUUGAAUGAAUAAUAUGAAAAAGAGAAAAUUGAAAAAAAAUCAAUUAUAUACAAAACAAUUUUAAAAAUACUAUGUAUAAAAAUUUUUAAAAUAAAUAAUAUGUAUGUUCAUAUAAAAAACAUAAAAUGAGAAAAAUCUUCAAAUGUAUAAUAAAUAAAACAUAAAACAAAUAGCAUAGUUGAAAAGGUACAAAAUAAUUUUAAAAUAAUUAUUGUAUAUAGUACAUUCUAAUAUAAGAUAAAAUAAUGUACAAAAUACUUAGUAUAUGGAAAUUCAAAAUAAACAAAAAUAAAACAGUUUUGAAGUAAACAAUAUGAAGAAUUUCGAAAUAAAUAGGAUAGGAAACAAUUUAAAUUACAUAGUACAUAUAAAUUUAGAAUGGGUAAGGUAUACACAUAUAUUCGAAAUAAAUAACAUAUAAAAUAUUUGAGAUAAAUACUAGUCAAUCUAAAAUAGUUUAAAAUAAAAUAAUAUAUAAAAGAAAAUCUUAAAUAAUAAAAGAAAUAGUUUAAAAAAAUAAAAAAAUAAAAAAAAUGGUGUUAAAAGGUUAAGGGCGCGAUUGAAAUCAUAAUAAAAUAAAGGGGCAUAAUUAAAAAUUUAAAAGAAAUGGAGCAAGGGAUUGAAAUGAAAAGCGCUGAGGACGCAAGGGACUAACUGUGAGAAUUCCCCAUCCCUUAUGCGCAUCACCUUGCAGGACCAGAUUGGAACACGCGAAAACUUAUGUGGCCGAAAUUAAAAUGAAACAAAAGGCAGCAUUGAAUGCGCCGCAGGAUUGGGGGGACCAAAUGCGCAAAUUACCCAUUAGGGCAAGGAUGCGCAGGUCUCCCCUUUAAACGGCGUCGUUUUAAUCAACAUAAAAGCUAAAAAAACCUUCAUUUUUCUGCCGUUUCAUUUUGCUGCAAAGAACGCAAAAAAAAAAAACAAAAGGGGAGGUUCCCCUUCUCUGCCGGAGUUCCAAGGCCAUGGAACAGUGAACGAAAAAACUUUGGCCCCUCCCUAAACCCCAUCCGGCGACGACGAAAGACCAUCGACGGCGGGCCUAAGGGCUGAUUCGGGUGCACUCCCUCCUCUUUUUUUUAUUUAUUUUCCUUAUUAAAAUGAAGUUGUAAAAAGAAAAAGAUAGAAAUAAAAUUAAAAUGAAAAUAAAACGAAUAGAAAACAGUAAAGGUUUAACCUUUUUGAACUUUUAUUUUUGCUAUUUUGAUUUCUGAUGUGCGUUUUUUUUACAAAGAAAAAUCGAAGAAGAACGAUGCAAGAAAACGUUCGGCCUUUAUAGCCAAAAUACAAAAAAUCGAAGAAGAACGAUGCAAGAAAACGUUCGGCCUUUAUAGCCAAAAUACAAAAUCUUUCCGUUCUAUUCUUUGUCGUUUCUUUUUGUCUAUCUCUUCUUUUGUUGUUUUCUUUUUAGUCCGCGUGUCUUCUUCUCCUUGCAGGUGCCCGUGGCCGACAGUGGUGGCAGAGGCGUGCGAGUGGGCGUGGCAGACGAGGAGGCCACGCGAGGCAUGCGGCGCUAGGGUUUGGGGGCAACUUUCUGCCGAAAAUGUUAAUGUUGUCUUGGCUGGGUUUUUAAUUUUUGUUACAACAAGCCAUGGGCUACAUUGGGCUUGUUAUUUUCCUUUGUAAUUGGACUGUCGUUUAUCUUGUUUUAAUAUUCGGGCUUGGGCAUAAAAUUGGGCCUUACAGAAUCCAUCAAAGAAUUUCCUAUAAAAUUUAAGCUUGCCAAACCUAUAAAAUAUCUAACAAAGAAAAUUAAAGUAAAGAAUCAAAAAACAAGAUGCCUUGUUCAACCGAUUCAACUCAACCGCAAUUAAAAAUCCCUAAAGCAAUGGAUUACCAUGACGAGUAUAUGCAAACGAUUUUCUCUCUACAACUCAUCCGAGCCACAACCAAGUCGAUGAAAGUCUGACUCGACGAGUC
RNAcentral lists this long non-coding RNA (2241 nucleotides) under Gossypium raimondii (Peruvian cotton). Its description in RNAcentral is "long non-coding RNA (GRAI_LNC001009)". Lineage: Eukaryota; Viridiplantae; Streptophyta; Magnoliopsida; Malvales; Malvaceae. The record is from RNAcentral.